CCUACGGGUGGCAGCAGCAAGGAAUCUUCCGCAAUGGGCGCAAGCCUGACGGAGCAACGCCGCGUGCGGGAUGACGCCCUUCGGGGUGUAAACCGCUUUUCUUCCGGAAGAAUGCCUGGGGUGACUCAGGCUUGACGGUACGGGAGGAAGAAGGACCGGCUAACUACGUGCCAGCAGCCGCGGUAAUACGUAGGGUCCGAGCGUUGUCCGGAGUUACUGGGCGUAAAGCGCGCGCAGGCGGCGGUGUUGGCCCGGCGUGAAAGCCCCCGGCUCAACCGGGGAGGGUCGUCGGGGACCGCACCGCUUGAGGGCGGUAGGGGCUGGUGGAAUGCCUGGUGUAGUGGUGAAAUGCGUAGAGAUCAGGCGGAACACCCGUGGCGAAGGCGGCCAGCUGGGCCGUCCCUGACGCUGAGGCGCGAAGGCGUGGGGAGCGAACGGGA
RNAcentral lists this ribosomal RNA (440 nucleotides) under uncultured bacterium. Its description in RNAcentral is "bacterial SSU rRNA". It matches the Rfam family "Bacterial small subunit ribosomal RNA", at positions 338 to 777 of the family's 1533-position model. The record is from RNAcentral.